GGCUCCAUAGUGUAGUGGUUAGCACGUCUGCUUUACACGCAGAAGGUCCUGGGUUCGUGCCCCUGGUGGAGCCA
This 74-nucleotide transfer RNA is filed under the name Pteropus alecto (black flying fox). It matches the Rfam family "tRNA". Rfam says of the family: Transfer RNA (tRNA) molecules are approximately 80 nucleotides in length. Their secondary structure includes four short double-helical elements and three loops (D, anti-codon, and T loops). The record is from Rfam by way of RNAcentral. Lineage: Eukaryota; Metazoa; Chordata; Mammalia; Chiroptera; Pteropodidae. RNAcentral also lists the same sequence under 1 other name.